RNAcentral lists this unclassified non-coding RNA (240 nucleotides) under soil metagenome. RNAcentral describes it as "partial contains 5.8S ribosomal RNA, internal transcribed spacer 2, and large subunit ribosomal RNA". The record is from RNAcentral.
AACCAUUCUCACCUGCGGCUAGACCUGCGGAGGGAUCAUUACACAACAAAAUAUGAAGGUCUGGCUUCGCGGCCGGCUGAAGUAUUUUUUUUCACCCAUGUCUUUUGCGCACUUGUUGUUUCCUGGGCGGGUUCGCCCGCCACCAGGACCAAACCAUAAACCUUUUUUUUAUGUAGUUGCAAUCAGCGUCAGUAAAAACAAUGUAAUUAUUACAACUUUUAACAAUGGAUCUCAGAUCGG